GUGGGCGUGGCGAAACUGGUAGACGCAGCAGACUUAAAAUCUGCUGUCCUGACGGACUUGCGGGUUCGAGUCCCGCCGCCCACACCA
RNAcentral lists this transfer RNA (87 nucleotides) under Hyphomonadaceae bacterium. RNAcentral describes it as "tRNA-Leu". It matches the Rfam family "tRNA". Rfam says of the family: Transfer RNA (tRNA) molecules are approximately 80 nucleotides in length. Their secondary structure includes four short double-helical elements and three loops (D, anti-codon, and T loops). Lineage: Bacteria; Pseudomonadati; Pseudomonadota; Alphaproteobacteria; Hyphomonadales; Hyphomonadaceae. The record is from RNAcentral.